AUUGAUACCUGGCAGGGGAGAUACCAUGAUCACAAAGGUGGUUUUCUCAGGGUGAGGCCCAUCCAUUGCAUUCUGGGUGUGCUGGCCCUUGCGAUUUCCCCAAAUACAGGAAACUUGACUGCAUAAGUAGUGAGAGACUGAGUUUAUGCUUUCCCCUGA
This 159-nucleotide small nuclear RNA is filed under the name Papio anubis (olive baboon). Its description in RNAcentral is "U1 spliceosomal RNA (ENSPANG00000013461.3)". It matches the Rfam family "U1 spliceosomal RNA". From Rfam's summary of the family: U1 is a small nuclear RNA (snRNA) component of the spliceosome (involved in pre-mRNA splicing). Lineage: Eukaryota; Metazoa; Chordata; Mammalia; Primates; Cercopithecidae. The record is from RNAcentral.